GCGGGAGCCAUGCGGCGAUCGAGGAGCUCUGCGGCCGCCAAGCUGCGCGGGCAGAAGCGGUCCGGGGCCUCCGCGGCCCCCGCGGCCCCCGCGGCCGCUGCCUCGGCACCCAGCGCCACCCGCACACGGCGCUCCGCGAGCCAGGCCGGGAGCAAGAGCCAGGCGGCGGAGAAGCCGCCGUCGGAGAAGCCGCGGCUGAGGCGCUCGUCGCCGCGGGCCCAGGAGGAGGGCCCGGGGGAGCCGCCGCCGCCGGAGCUGGCGUUGCUCCCGCCGCCGCCGCCGCCGCCGACUCCCGCGACCCCGACGUCCUCGGCGUCCAACCUGGACCUGGGCGAGCAGCGGGAGCGCUGGGAGACGUUCCAGAAGCGGCAGAAGCUCACCUCCGAGGGUGCCGCCAAGCUCCUGCUAGACACCUUUGAAUACCAGGGCCUGGUGAAGCACACAGGAGGCUGCCACUGUGGAGCGAUUCGUUUUGAAGUUUGGGCCUCAGCAGACUUGCAUAUAUUCGACUGCAAGUGAGUGUUUGCUUUUUCCUAAAUUAGCUUAAAAGAAUUUCAGAGUUAAAAUGCAAUAUUCCAAAAUAAUCUGGGGAGUUGGGGUACAGAGGAAACAUUGGCCUUGGGCUGGUAACUGUUGAAGUCAGGUGAUGGGGACAGAAAGGUUCAUUGUUCUAUUUUUGUUCCUUUUGUAUGGCUCAUCACAGAGCUUCAACAGCAUGGCCCAGGUGACACA
This 732-nucleotide small RNA is filed under the name Pongo abelii (Sumatran orangutan). Its description in RNAcentral is "retained intron". Lineage: Eukaryota; Metazoa; Chordata; Mammalia; Primates; Hominidae. The record is from RNAcentral.